GCUGGGCGUGGUGGUGCACUCCUGUAAUCCCAGCUGCUUGAGAGGCUAAGAUAGGAGGAUUGCGAGUUCAAAGCUAGCCUCAGCAAUGGCGUGCAAGGUGCUAAGCAAUUCAGUAAGACCCUGUCUCUA
RNAcentral lists this small RNA (129 nucleotides) under Marmota monax (woodchuck). Lineage: Eukaryota; Metazoa; Chordata; Mammalia; Rodentia; Sciuridae. The record is from RNAcentral.